UACAGAGGGUGCAAGCGUUAAUCGGAAUUACUGGGCGUAAAGGGUGCGUAGGUGGUUGAGUAAGUUGGAUGUGAAAUGCCUGGGCUUAACCUGGGACCGGCAUCCAAAACUGCUGGGCUAGAGUAAGGUAGAGGGAAGUGGAAUUUCCGGUGUAGCGGUGAAAUGCGUAGAUAUCGGAAGGAACACCAGUGGCGAAGGCGGCUUCCUGGACUAUUACUGACACUGAGGCACGAAAGCGUGGGGAGCAAACAGG
Molecule: ribosomal RNA, 253 nt
Filed under: uncultured bacterium
Lineage: Bacteria
Description: partial 16S ribosomal RNA
Rfam family: Bacterial small subunit ribosomal RNA
Source: RNAcentral